Molecule: ribosomal RNA, 1459 nt
Filed under: Salmonella enterica
Lineage: Bacteria; Pseudomonadati; Pseudomonadota; Gammaproteobacteria; Enterobacterales; Enterobacteriaceae
Also listed under: 1 other name
Description: bacterial SSU rRNA
Rfam family: Bacterial small subunit ribosomal RNA
Source: RNAcentral
GCUGACGAGUGGCGGACGGGUGAGUAAUGUCUGGGAAACUGCCUGAUGGAGGGGGAUAACUACUGGAAACGGUGGCUAAUACCGCAUAACGUCGCAAGACCAAAGAGGGGGACCUUCGGGCCUCUUGCCAUCAGAUGUGCCCAGAUGGGAUUAGCUUGUUGGUGAGGUAACGGCUCACCAAGGCGACGAUCCCUAGCUGGUCUGAGAGGAUGACCAGCCACACUGGAACUGAGACACGGUCCAGACUCCUACGGGAGGCAGCAGUGGGGAAUAUUGCACAAUGGGCGCAAGCCUGAUGCAGCCAUGCCGCGUGUAUGAAGAAGGCCUUCGGGUUGUAAAGUACUUUCAGCGGGGAGGAAGGUGUUGCGGUUAAUAACCGCAGCAAUUGACGUUACCCGCAGAAGAAGCACCGGCUAACUCCGUGCCAGCAGCCGCGGUAAUACGGAGGGUGCAAGCGUUAAUCGGAAUUACUGGGCGUAAAGCGCACGCAGGCGGUCUGUCAAGUCGGAUGUGAAAUCCCCGGGCUCAACCUGGGAACUGCAUUCGAAACUGGCAGGCUUGAGUCUUGUAGAGGGGGGUAGAAUUCCAGGUGUAGCGGUGAAAUGCGUAGAGAUCUGGAGGAAUACCGGUGGCGAAGGCGGCCCCCUGGACAAAGACUGACGCUCAGGUGCGAAAGCGUGGGGAGCAAACAGGAUUAGAUACCCUGGUAGUCCACGCCGUAAACGAUGUCUACUUGGAGGUUGUGCCCUUGAGGCGUGGCUUCCGGAGCUAACGCGUUAAGUAGACCGCCUGGGGAGUACGGCCGCAAGGUUAAAACUCAAAUGAAUUGACGGGGGCCCGCACAAGCGGUGGAGCAUGUGGUUUAAUUCGAUGCAACGCGAAGAACCUUACCUGGUCUUGACAUCCACAGAACUUUCCAGAGAUGGAUUGGUGCCUUCGGGAACUGUGAGACAGGUGCUGCAUGGCUGUCGUCAGCUCGUGUUGUGAAAUGUUGGGUUAAGUCCCGCAACGAGCGCAACCCUUAUCCUUUGUUGCCAGCGAUUAGGUCGGGAACUCAAAGGAGACUGCCAGUGAUAAACUGGAGGAAGGUGGGGAUGACGUCAAGUCAUCAUGGCCCUUACGACCAGGGCUACACACGUGCUACAAUGGCGCAUACAAAGAGAAGCGACCUCGCGAGAGCAAGCGGACCUCAUAAAGUGCGUCGUAGUCCGGAUUGGAGUCUGCAACUCGACUCCAUGAAGUCGGAAUCGCUAGUAAUCGUGGAUCAGAAUGCCACGGUGAAUACGUUCCCGGGCCUUGUACACACCGCCCGUCACACCAUGGGAGUGGGUUGCAAAAGAAGUAGGUAGCUUAACCUUCGGGAGGGCGCUUACCACUUUGUGAUUCAUGACUGGGGUGAAGUCGUAACAAGGUAACCGUAGGGGAACCUGCGGUUGGAUCACCUCCUUACCUUAAAGAA